GACGAACGCUGGCGGCGUGCUUAACACAUGCAAGUCGAACGGUAAGGCCCUUCGGGGUACACGAGUGGCGAACGGGUGAGUAACACGUGGGUGAUCUGCCCUGCACUUCGGGAUAAGCCUGGGAAACUGGGUCUAAUACCGGAUAGGACUCCUGGCUUCAUGGUUGGGGGUGGAAAGCUUUUGCGGGGUGGGAUGGGCCCGCGGCCUAUCAGCUUGUUGGUGGGGUAAUGGCCUACCAAGGCGACGACGGGUAGCCGGCCUGGGAGGGGGACCGGUACCAGUGGGACUGAGAUACGGCCCAGACGCCUACGGGGGGCAGCAGUGGGGAAGAUUGCACAAUGGGCGCGAGCCUGAUGCAGCGACGCCGCGUGGGGGAUGACGGCCUUCGGGUUGUAAACCUCUUUCAGCUAUGACGAAGCGCAGGUGACGGUAGUAGCAGAAGAAGGACCGGCCAACUACGUGCCAGCAGCCGCCGUAA
This 478-nucleotide ribosomal RNA is filed under the name uncultured bacterium. RNAcentral's name for it is "partial 16S ribosomal RNA". It matches the Rfam family "Bacterial small subunit ribosomal RNA", at positions 28 to 523 of the family's 1533-position model. The record is from RNAcentral.